Molecule: ribosomal RNA, 185 nt
Filed under: uncultured bacterium
Lineage: Bacteria
Description: partial 16S ribosomal RNA
Rfam family: Bacterial small subunit ribosomal RNA
Source: RNAcentral
CCGCACGAAGCUGGAAUCGCUAGUAAUCGCGAAUCAGAAUGUCGCGGUGAAUACGUUCCCGGGUCUUGUACACACCGCCCGUCACACCAUGGGAGUCGGAAAUGCCCGAAGUCUGUGACCGAACCGAAAGGAAGGAGCAGCCGAAGGCAGGUCGGAUGACUGGGGUGAAGUCGUAACAAGGUAUC